GACGAACGCUGGCGGCGUGCUUAACACAUGCAAGUCGAGCGGUAAGGCCCUUUCGGGGGUACACGAGCGGCGAACGGGUGAGUAACACGUGGGUGACCUGCCCUUAGCUCUGGGAUAAGCCUGGGAAACUGGGUCUAAUACCGGAUAUGACCUCAUGACUCAUGUUGUGGGGUGGAAAGCCUUGUGCGGCUAGGGGAUGGGCCCGCGAUCUAUCAGCUUGUUGGUGGGGUAAUUGCCACCAAGGCGACGACGGGUAGCCGGCCUGAGAGGGCGACCGGCCACACUGGGGACUGAGACACGGCCCAGACUCCUACGGGAGGCAGCAGUGGGGAAUCUUGCGCAAUGGGCGAAAGCCUGACGCAGCGACGCCGCGUGAGGGAUGACGGCCUGGUGU
This 394-nucleotide ribosomal RNA is filed under the name uncultured bacterium. Its description in RNAcentral is "bacterial SSU rRNA". It matches the Rfam family "Bacterial small subunit ribosomal RNA", at positions 28 to 422 of the family's 1533-position model. The record is from RNAcentral.